Molecule: ribosomal RNA, 1506 nt
Filed under: metagenome
Description: bacterial SSU rRNA
Rfam family: Bacterial small subunit ribosomal RNA
Source: RNAcentral
AGAGUUUGAUCAUGGCUCAGGACGAACGCUGGCGGCGUGCCUAAUACAUGCAAGUAGAACGCUGAAGAGAGGAGCUUGCUCUUCUUGGAUGAGUUGCGAACGGGUGAGUAACGCGUAGGUAACCUGCCUUGUAGCGGGGGAUAACUAUUGGAAACGAUAGCUAAUACCGCAUAACAAUGGAUGACACAUGUCAUUUAUUUGAAAGGGGCAAUUGUUCCACUACAAGAUGGACCUGCGUUGUAUUAGCUAGUAGGUGAGGUAAUGGCUCACCUAGGCGACGAUACAUAGCCGACCUGAGAGGGUGAUCGGCCACACUGGGACUGAGACACGGCCCAGACUCCUACGGGAGGCAGCAGUAGGGAAUCUUCGGCAAUGGGGGCAACCCUGACCGAGCAACGCCGCGUGAGUGAAGAAGGUUUUCGGAUCGUAAAGCUCUGUUGUAAGUCAAGAACGGGUGUGAGAGUGGAAAGUUCACACUGUGACGGUAGCUUACCAGAAAGGGACGGCUAACUACGUGCCAGCAGCCGCGGUAAUACGUAGGUCCCGAGCGUUGUCCGGAUUUAUUGGGCGUAAAGCGAGCGCAGGCGGUUUGAUAAGUCUGAAGUUAAAGGCUGUGGCUCAACCAUAGUUCGCUUUGGAAACUGUCAAACUUGAGUGCAGAAGGGGAGAGUGGAAUUCCAUGUGUAGCGGUGAAAUGCGUAGAUAUAUGGAGGAACACCGGUGGCGAAAGCGGCUCUCUGGUCUGUAACUGACGCUGAGGCUCGAAAGCGUGGGGAGCGAACAGGAUUAGAUACCCUGGUAGUCCACGCCGUAAACGAUGAGUGCUAGGUGUUGGAUCCUUUCCGGGAUUCAGUGCCGCAGCUAACGCAUUAAGCACUCCGCCUGGGGAGUACGACCGCAAGGUUGAAACUCAAAGGAAUUGACGGGGGCCCGCACAAGCGGUGGAGCAUGUGGUUUAAUUCGAAGCAACGCGAAGAACCUUACCAGGUCUUGACAUCCCGAUGCUAUUUCUAGAGAUAGAAAGUUACUUCGGUACAUCGGUGACAGGUGGUGCAUGGUUGUCGUCAGCUCGUGUCGUGAGAUGUUGGGUUAAGUCCCGCAACGAGCGCAACCCCUAUUGUUAGUUGCCAUCAUUCAGUUGGGCACUCUAGCGAGACUGCCGGUAAUAAACCGGAGGAAGGUGGGGAUGACGUCAAAUCAUCAUGCCCCUUAUGACCUGGGCUACACACGUGCUACAAUGGUUGGUACAACGAGUUGCGAGUCGGUGACGGCGAGCUAAUCUCUUAAAGCCAAUCUCAGUUCGGAUUGUAGGCUGCAACUCGCCUACAUGAAGUCGGAAUCGCUAGUAAUCGCGGAUCAGCACGCCGCGGUGAAUACGUUCCCGGGCCUUGUACACACCGCCCGUCACACCACGAGAGUUUGUAACACCCGAAGUCGGUGAGGUAACCUUUUGGAGCCAGCCGCCUAAGGUGGGACAGAUGAUUGGGGUGAAGUCGUAACAAGGUA